UACGUAGGGAGCAAGCGUUGUCCGGAAUCAUUGGGCGUAAAGCGCGCGUAGGCGGCUUCAUAAGUCCGUUGUGAAAGUCAAAGGCUCAACCUUUGAAAGCCGAUGGAUACUGUGAAGCUAGAGUACGGAAGAGGCGAGUGGAAUUCCUGGUGUAGCGGUGGAAUGCGCAGAUAUCAGGAGGAACACCAAUAGCGAAGGCAGCUCGCUGGGACGUUACUGACACUAAGGCGCGAAAGCGUGGGGAGCGAACAGG
RNAcentral lists this ribosomal RNA (253 nucleotides) under uncultured bacterium. Its description in RNAcentral is "partial 16S ribosomal RNA". It matches the Rfam family "Bacterial small subunit ribosomal RNA", at positions 524 to 776 of the family's 1533-position model. The record is from RNAcentral.